Molecule: transfer RNA, 75 nt
Filed under: Microbacterium phage PauloDiaboli
Lineage: Duplodnaviria; Heunggongvirae; Uroviricota; Caudoviricetes
Also listed under: 2 other names
Description: tRNA-Gly
Rfam family: tRNA
About the family: Transfer RNA (tRNA) molecules are approximately 80 nucleotides in length. Their secondary structure includes four short double-helical elements and three loops (D, anti-codon, and T loops).
Source: RNAcentral
GUGGUAGUAGUGUUCAACGGUCAGCACGAGGCAUUGCCAAUGCUUUAGUGGGGGUUCGAAUCCCCCUUACCGCAC